AACGAACGCUGGCGGCAUGCCUAACACAUGCAAGUCGAACGAGACCUUCGGGUCUAGUGGCGCACGGGUGCGUAACGCGUGGGAACCUGCCCUUAGGUUCGGAAUAACUCCCCGAAAGGGGUGCUAAUACCGGAUAAUGUCUUCGGACCAAAGAUUUAUCGCCUUUGGAUGGGCCCGCGUUGGAUUAGCUAGUUGGUAGGGUAAAAGCCUACCAAGGCGACGAUCCAUAGCUGGUCUGAGAGGAUGAUCAGCCACACUGGGACUGAGACGCGGCCCAGACUCUUACGGGAGGCAGCAGUGGGGAAUAUUGGACAAUGGGCGAAAGCCUGAUCCAGCAAUGCCGCGUGAGUGAUGAAGGCCUUAGGGUUGUAAAGCUCUUUUACCCGGGAUGAUAAUGACAGUACCGGGAGAAUAAGCUCCGGCUAACUCCGUG
This 433-nucleotide ribosomal RNA is filed under the name uncultured bacterium. RNAcentral's name for it is "partial 16S ribosomal RNA". It matches the Rfam family "Bacterial small subunit ribosomal RNA", at positions 29 to 507 of the family's 1533-position model. The record is from RNAcentral.